GACGAACGCUGGCGGCGUGCUUAACACAUGCAAGUCGAACGGUAAGGCCCUUCGGGGUACACGAGUGGCGAACGGGGGAGUAACACGUGGGUGAUCUGCCCUGCACUUCGGGAUAAGCCUGGGAAACUGGGUCUAAUACCGGAUAGGACCACUGCCUGCAUGGGUGGUGGUGGAAAGCUUUUGCGGUGUGGGAUGGGCCCGCGGCCUAUCAGCUUGUUGGUGGGGUGAUGGCCUACCAAGGCGACGACGGGUAGCCGGCCUGAGAGGGUGACCGGCCAGAAUGGGACUGCGACACGGCCAAGAAUCAAACGGGAAGCAGGAGUGGGGAAUAUUGCACAAUGGGCGCAAGCCUGAUGCAGCAACGCCGCGUGAGGGAUGACGGCCUUCGGGUUGUAAACCUCUUUUAGUAGGGAAGAAGCGAAAGUGACUGUACCUGCAGAAAAAGCACCGGCUAACUACGUGCCAGCCGCCGCGGUAA
Molecule: ribosomal RNA, 478 nt
Filed under: uncultured bacterium
Lineage: Bacteria
Description: partial 16S ribosomal RNA
Rfam family: Bacterial small subunit ribosomal RNA
Source: RNAcentral